Molecule: ribosomal RNA, 1184 nt
Filed under: uncultured Gammaproteobacteria bacterium
Lineage: Bacteria; Pseudomonadati; Pseudomonadota; Gammaproteobacteria
Description: bacterial SSU rRNA
Rfam family: Bacterial small subunit ribosomal RNA
Source: RNAcentral
ACACAUGCAAGUCGAACGGUAACACCUCAUUACCUUCGGGUAACGAGGGGCGACGAGUGGCGGACGGGUGAGUAACGCAUAGGAAUCUGCCCGGUAGUGGGGGACAACCUGGGGAAACCCAGGCCUAAUACCGCAUACGCCCUACGGGGAAAGCGGGGGAUCUUCGGACCUCGCGCUAUUGGAUGAGCCUAUGUCUGAUUAGCUUGUUGGUAGGGUAACGGCCUACCAAGGCAACGAUCAGUAGCUGGUCUGAGAGGAUGAUCAGCCACACUGCGACUGAGACACGGCGCAGACUCCUACGGGAGGCAGCAGUGGGGAAUAUUGCACAAUGGGCGCACUAAAUGCAGCAAUGCCGCGUGUGUGAAGAAGGCCUGCGGGUUGUAAAGCACUUUCAGUAGCGAAGAAAAGCCUGAGGUUAAUAGCUUCGAGUCUUGACGUUAGCUACACAAGAAGCACCGGCUAACUCCGUGCCAGCAGCCGCGGUAAUACGGAGGGUGCGAGCGUUAAUCGGAAUUACUGGGCGUAAAGCACGCGUAGGGGUUUUGGUAAGUCGGAUGUGAAAUCCCCGGGCUUAACCUGGGAAUUGCAUUCGAUACUGCCUGACUGGAAUGCGAUAGAGGUAAGUGGAAUUCCCGGUGUAGCGGUGAAAUGCGUAGAUAUCGGGAGGAACAUCAGUGGCGAAGGGGCUUACUGGAUCAACAUUGACGCUGAGGUGCGAAACGUGGGGGAGCAAACAGGAUUAGAUACCCUGGUAGUCCACGCCCUAAACGAUGUCAACUAGCCGUUGGGUCCUUAAGGAUUUAGUGGCGCCGAAACGCGAUAAGUUGACCGCCUGGGGAGUACGGCCGCAAGGUUAAAACUCAAAGGAAUUGACGGGGGCCCGCACAAGGUGGGAGCAUGUGGUUUAAUUCGAUGCAACGCGAAGAACCUUACCAGGCCUUGACAUCCUGCGAACUUUCCAGAGAUGGAUCGGUGCCUUCGGGAGCGCAGAGACAGGUGCUGCAUGGCUGUCGUCAGCUCGUGUCGUGAGAUGUUGGGUUAAGUCCCGUAACGAGCGCAACCCUUGUCCUUAGUUGCCAGCACUUCGGGUGGGAACUCUAAGGAGACUGCCGGUGACAAACCGGAGAAAGGUUGGGAUGACGUCAAGUCACAAUGGCCCUUACGGCCUGGGCAACACACGUGCU